GACGAACGCUGGCGGCGUGCUUAACACAUGCAAGUCGAACGGGCCUGUCUUCUUUUUUGGGGGUGGGUUGAGUGGCGAACGGGUGAGUAUCACGUGAGUAACCUGCCCUUCGGUCCUGGAUAACCGCUUGAAAGGGCGGCUAAUACGGGGUGGUCCGGUUGGUCCGCAUGGGCUGGUCGGGAUAGAUUCACUGUUUUUGGUGUUUCGGCGGGGGAUGGGCUCGCGGCCUAUCAGCUUGUUGGUGGGGUGAUGGCCUACCAAGGCGGUGACGGGUAGCCGGCCUGAGGGGGUGGGCGGCCAGACUGGGACUGGGAUACGGCCCAGACUCCUGCGGGAGGCAGCAGUGGGGGGUAUUGCACAAUGGGCGGAAGCCUGAUGCAGCGACGUCGCGUGAGGGAUGGAGGCCUUCGGGUUGUGAACCUCUGUUUCCGGUGGUGAAGGCCCUGUCCGUGUGGUGGGGUUGACGGUAGCCGGGGAUGAAGCGCCGGCUAACUACGUG
Molecule: ribosomal RNA, 499 nt
Filed under: uncultured bacterium
Lineage: Bacteria
Description: partial 16S ribosomal RNA
Rfam family: Bacterial small subunit ribosomal RNA
Source: RNAcentral